Molecule: ribosomal RNA, 1990 nt
Filed under: activated sludge metagenome
Description: bacterial LSU rRNA
Rfam family: Bacterial large subunit ribosomal RNA
Source: RNAcentral
GUAAGCUACUAAGGGCGCACGGUGGAUGCCUUGGCGUCAAAUGCCGAUGAAGGACGUGGUACACUGCGAUAAGCCUCGGGGAGUUGUGUGCGAACGCUAUAUCCGAGGAUGUCCGAAUGGGGAAACCCACCAGGGGUUAAUGCCCUGGUACUGCUAUUUGAAUAAAAUAGGGUAGCAGAGGGAACGAGGUGAACUGAAACAUCUAAGUAACCUCAGGAAAAGAAAUGAUUCCCAGAGUAGUGGCGAGCGAAAUGGGAGUAGCCCAAACCACAGCUAUAUGCUUGUGGGGUUGUAGGGCCAGUCGUAUGAGAGUGACAAAUCUGUUUGGUAGCAAAAUCUUCUGGAAAGUUGAGCCAUAGAGGGUGACAGCCCCGUAGGCGAAACUGAACAGACUCUCGAUUGGUACCUGAGUACGGCGGGGCACGCUAACCCUGUCGGAAUCUGGGAGGUCCACCUCCCAAGGCUAAAUACAUUUGACGACCGAUAGUGAACAAGUACCGUGAGGGAAAGGUGAAAAGACCCCCGGCUAGGGGAGUGAAAUAGAACCUGAAACCGUGUGCCUACAGACAGUCGGAGCACUAUGGCCUUCGGGCAAUGUGUGACGGCGUGCCUCUUGGAGAAUGAGCCAGCGAGUUAAUUUCAGUGGCAAGGUUAAGCCAGAAACAGGCGGAGCCGCAGCGAAAGCGAGUCUGAAUAGGGCGUUCAGUCGCUGGGAUUAGACACGAAACCAGGUGAGCUACCCAUGGGCAGGUUGAAGCGAGAGUAAUGUCUCGUGGAGGACCGAACUCACUAAUAUUGCAAAAUUAGGGGAUGACCUGUGGGUAGGGGUGAAAUGCCAAACGAACCUGGAUAUAGCUUGUUCUCUCCGAAAUAGCUUUAGGGCUAGCGUCGUGUGUUUAGUAUAGGGGGUAGAGCACUGAAUGAGCUAGGGGGCGCAAGCUUACCAACCUCAAUCAAACUCCGAAUACCUAUACUCCAAGCACGGCAGUCGGACUGCGUGAGAUGAGUUUCGCAGUCGAAAGGGAAACAGCCCAGACCGUCAGCUAAGGUCCCCAAGUGUGUGUUAAGUGGGAAACGAUGUGAGAGUGUUUAGACAGCCAGGAGGUUGGCUUAGAAGCAGCCACCCUUUAAAGAGUGCGUAACAGCUCACUGGUCAAACGCUCUUGCGCGGAAAAUUUAACGGGGCUCAAACACACCACCGAAGCUACGGAUAGCAUCUUCUGAUGCUAUGGUAGGAGAGCGUUGUAUAGGAGAUACAAGGUAGACCGAAAGGACUGCUGCGGCCUAUACAAGUGAGAAUGCUGGCAUGAGUAGCGCAAAACAUGUGAGAACCAUGUUCCCCGUAAACCUAAGGUUUCCGACGGAAGGCCAGUCCUCGUCGGGUUAGUCGGUCCUUAGCCGAGGUCGAGAGACGUAGGUGAUGGACAUCGGGUUAAUAUUCCCGAACCACUUAGAUGGAGCGAUGAAGGGACGCGGUGUGGUAGGUCAGCCUCUUAUCGGAUUGAGGUGCCAAACGCGUAGGACGUUGAAGGAAGUAGGCAAAUCCGCUUCCCGAGUCCGAAACGUGACGGCGGUGCCUUAGAGCCACAAGUGAUUGAGCCAUACCGCCAAGAAAAGCUUCUAAGCGUUGAAAUUUAAGUGACCGUACCGCAAACCGACACUGGUAGGUGGGUAGAAUAUACCAAGGGGAUCGAGAGAACCUUCGUUAAGGAAUUAGGCAAAUUUCCCCCGUACGUUCGCAAUAAGGGGGGCCUCUGGCGGUUAGCUAUGCAAAGCUGCUGGAGGCCGCAGUGAAAUGGCUCUUCCAACUGUUUAACAAAAACACAGGUCUCUGCUAAGUCGAAAGACGAAGUAUAGGGGCUGACGCCUGCCCAGUGCUGGAAGGUUAAGGGGAGAGGUUAGGCGCAAGCCGAAGCUUUGAGCCGAAGCCCCAGUGAACGGCGGCCGUAACUAUAACGGUCCUAAGGUAGCGAAAUUCCUUGUCGGGUAA